UGAUGACGAGACGCUAAGGAGUUGAAGCAGUGUAUGUCAGACUUCCAAGAAAAGCUCGCAAUGUCACAAAUAAAAAUGCCUGUACCAUAACCGACACAGGUGGGUAGGUAGAGUAUACUAAGGGGCGCGAGAUAACUCUCUCUAAGGAACUCGGCAAAAUGACUCCGUAACUUCGGGAGAAGGAGUGCCUUAUUUAUAAGGUUGCAAUAACAAGAUCCAAGCAACUGUUUAUCAAAAACACAGGUCUCCGCUAAGUCGUAAGACGAUGUAUGGGGGCUGACGCCUGCCCAGUGCCAGAAGGUUAAAGAAGUUGGUUAGUGUAUGCGAAGCUGAUGACUGAAGCCCUGGUGAACGGCGGCCGUAACAAUAACGGUCCUAAGGUAGCGAAAUUCCUUGUCGGGUAAGUUCCGACCCGCACGAAAGGCGUAAUGAUUUGGAUACUGUCUCGGAGAGAGGCUCGGUGAAAUAGACUUGUCUGUGAAGAUGCGGACUACCUGCACCAGGACAGAAAGACCCUAUGAAGCUUUACUGUAACUUGAAAUUGGAAUUGGACUUUGCUUGCGCAGUAUAGGUGGGAAGCGUUGAAAAUAUUCUUGCGGGAGUAUUGGAGCUAUCAGUGAGAUACCACUCUUGUAAUGUUAGAUUUCUAACUUUGAACCAUAAUCUGGUCAAAGAACAGUUUCAGGUGGGCAGUUUGACUGGGGCGGUCGCCUCCCAAAUGGUAACGGAGGCGUACAAAGGUUUCCUCUGAACGGAUAGAAAUCGUAUCUAGAGUGUAAAGGCAUAAGGAAGCUUGACUGUGAGACCUACAAGUCGAGCAGGGACGAAAGUCGGUCUUAGUGAUCUGACGGUACUGAGUGGAAAGGCCGUCACUCAACGGAUAAAAGUUACUCUAAGGAUAACAGGCUGAUCUCCCCCAAGAGUUCACAUCGACGGGGAGGUUUGGCACCUCGAUGUCGGCUCAUCGCAUCCUGGGGCGGUAGUACGUCCCAAGGGUUGGGCUGUUCGCCCAUGAAAGCGGUACGCGAGCUGGGUUCAGAACGUCGUGAGACAGUUCGGUCCAUAUCCGGUGUAGGCGCUAGAAUAUUGAGAGGAGCCUUCUUUAGUACGAGAGGACCGAGAAGGACACACCGCUGGUGUACCAGUUAUCGUGCCAACGGUAAACGCUGGGUAGCUAUGUGUGGAGUGGAUAACCGCUGAAAGCAUCUAAGUGGGAAGCCCACCUCGAGAUGAGUAUUCUCAUC
RNAcentral lists this ribosomal RNA (1244 nucleotides) under metagenome. RNAcentral describes it as "bacterial LSU rRNA". It matches the Rfam family "Bacterial large subunit ribosomal RNA", at positions 1564 to 2818 of the family's 2925-position model. The record is from RNAcentral.